This 1050-nucleotide ribosomal RNA is filed under the name Triticum aestivum (bread wheat). RNAcentral's name for it is "partial small subunit ribosomal RNA". The record is from RNAcentral. Lineage: Eukaryota; Viridiplantae; Streptophyta; Magnoliopsida; Poales; Poaceae.
AUGGCUUACUAUUCAGAUCAUCAGGCUUAUGCGAGCAACACUACAAACAGCACGGAAAGUGUUCAAGAACUGAUAGGUAAGAUUUCCCAUCGAUUAGAUGAUUUAGCUCGGCAGCGAGAAGGAGUUUUUGAGGAUAGGCCUAGUUCUUACGAUCCUUAUUCCAGAGGCCAUCCUUAUGUUGCUCCUACUUGCCAUAUUUGUGGAUUUCAGGGCCAUUCGCCCGCUGAAUGUCAGCGUGGCUACUCUCACACUCCGGAUUGUUUUGGCAUGAGCUUCGCUCAAGAGCAUAGCUCAUACCAGAACAAUUACUCACAUGGGUGGCCUGAAAUCCCGAAUAUGUCAUAUAGGAGCAACAACCCUGAGAUCUCACAGUUUGGUUCUAGUAAUCAUAUGCAGGGAUUCAGGUACAAUGAGGAGAACCACAACUAUGCUCCACAACAGAUUUAUUCACCUCCUACUCAUAUACCUCAAUACCAGGAGAUGUGUCCAAUGGAGUUAAAUGGUCCUCCAUUUGGUCAACCAACAACUCCAGCACCUUUCGAGCAAUCUCAUGUGCAAGUGCCCACACAAGAUGAGUUCGAUGACAUAGACAAGCUCACGCUUUUGAGUCUCGAGUUCACUUGGAGUGCCGAGGAUGAUCCUAUUAGGAAGGUUAUACUAGAGGAAAUGAAGAAGAUUAAGAGUGGAAAGGAGCUAGUGGAAGAAGUAAGGAAGAUUGAGAAGAACAUCAACGCUGGCAGCACUAUUUCUUCACAACUUGAGUUGAGUGUGGCUGAGAUAUCCAUGGAUACAUGUGAGGUUCCAACACCUUCACAUUUCAUUGAGCAAGUUAACAAGUGCCUUGAGCAAGAGAUACCUCAGAUUGAAGAAGAUGAACUAGAAGACAAGGAACAAGAUGGUCAAGAGCUGCAAUUCCCAAGUGAUCAAGUUGAAGACUCAUCAUCUAUUACUCCUGAAGAAGUACAAGAAGCUGGUGUAGAUGAAGAUGAAGAACAUGAGAUUCAUUUGCCUAUUGUCAUACCAGAGUGUGAUGUGUCAGGUUCGAGGUGA